Molecule: long non-coding RNA, 574 nt
Organism: Mercurialis annua (annual mercury)
Lineage: Eukaryota; Viridiplantae; Streptophyta; Magnoliopsida; Malpighiales; Euphorbiaceae
Exons: 3
Source: RefSeq, a predicted model, not a curated record
UGUCACUGCAUAAAGAUAGAUCCAAUAUUAUUUCAUGAACUUAAACAAUCCAAGUUUAGUUGAUAAAUCACCAAGUAUUAGAUGGAUGGUCAAGAUCGAUCUAUAUCCUACGAUAAACAAACAUCAAAAGAACACCGGAAGAGGGGGUUUCCGAGAGUCUACUCUGACGAUUAAGUCAAUAUUUGGGCGUGGAAGGAAGGACGGGAUGUAGAGGCGUGAGGAAUACGGUGGAAGGCACAACCUUUGCAGGUCCACAAGUGUAGCCAGGUCCCGGACCGAGCAGAGUGAAAUUCUUAGGCAGUUUCACAGUUUUAUUCGUGGUUCCGGCAAGUCCGACACUUACCUGAAAGGCUGAAACUGAAGCUGAAGGAUCCUGUCCCCAGGCUGCCACUACACCACCUUUACAACAAUUACUGAAUUGCUGAUUGUAAGGAACUCCAGGGAGCAAAUCAACAACUGUCGGAGUUUUCUUGCAGCUAUGCGCCGCAGGAACAUGCUGGACAAGGCGUUAUCGUAGAAUUAUAGAAAGAUGACAUUGAUAGGCAGCAGGUUGGGUUUGGAGAAGCUAGCAUUU